RNAcentral lists this ribosomal RNA (582 nucleotides) under uncultured archaeon. Its description in RNAcentral is "bacterial SSU rRNA". It matches the Rfam family "Archaeal small subunit ribosomal RNA", at positions 75 to 659 of the family's 1478-position model. The record is from RNAcentral.
CCCGAGGCGCACUGCUCAGUAACACGUGGAGAAUCUGCCCUUAGGUGAGGAAUAACCUCGGGAAACUGAGAAUAAUACUCCAUAAGUCUAGGAUACUGGAAUGUACUUAGGCUGAAAACUUCGGUGCCCUAGGAUGAGUCUGCGGACUAUCAGGUUGUAGUCAGGGUAAAGACCUGACUAGCCUACGACGGAUACGGGUUGUGAGAGCAAUAACCCGGAGAUGAUAUCUGAGACACGAUAUCAGGCCCUACGGGGCGCAGCAGGCGCGAAAACUUCACACUGCGCGAAAGCGCGAUGAGGGAAUCCCAAGUGCUUGCACGUAAGUGUAAGCUGUUUCUAUGUCUAAAAAGCAUGGAGAGUAAGAGCUGGGUAAGACGGGUGCCAGCCGCCGCGGUAAUACCUGCAGCUCAAGUGGUGGCCGUUAUUAUUGGGCCUAAAACGUCCGUAGCCGGUUUAUUAAAUGCCUGGGUAAAUCGGGCCGCUUAACGGUUCGAAUUCCGGGUAGACUGAUAGACUUGGGACCGGGAGAGGCUAGAGGUACUCCUGGGGUAGAGGUGAAAUUCUGUAAUCCUAGGGGGACCA